RNAcentral lists this ribosomal RNA (347 nucleotides) under uncultured soil bacterium. RNAcentral's name for it is "bacterial SSU rRNA". It matches the Rfam family "Bacterial small subunit ribosomal RNA", at positions 26 to 395 of the family's 1533-position model. The record is from RNAcentral.
AGAACGAACGCUGGCGGCAUGCCUAACACAUGCAAGUCGAACGAGACCUUCGGGUCUAGUGGCGCACGGGUGCGUAACGCGUGGGAAUCUACCCUUGGGUUCGGAAUAACAGUUGGAAACGACUGCUAAUACCGGAUGAUGACGUAAGUCCAAAGAUUUAUCGCCCAGGGAUGAGCCCGCGUAGGAUUAGCUAGUUGGUGAGGUAAAGGCUCACCAAGGCGACGAUCCUAGCUGGUCUGAGAGGAUGAUCAGCCACACGUGGGACUGAGACGACCGGCCCAGACUCCGUACGGGAGGCAGCAGGUAGGGAAUAGUGACGAGUGGGACGAAGCCUGACUACAGACAAG